RNAcentral lists this ribosomal RNA (410 nucleotides) under uncultured prokaryote. Its description in RNAcentral is "bacterial SSU rRNA". It matches the Rfam family "Bacterial small subunit ribosomal RNA", at positions 505 to 918 of the family's 1533-position model. The record is from RNAcentral.
GUGUCAGCGCCGCGGUAAUACGGAGGAUGCAAGCGUUAUCCGGAUUUAUUGGGUUUAAAGGGUGCGUAGGCGGAAAAAUAAGUCAGUGGUGAAAACCUGCAGCUUAACUGUAGAAUUGCCAUUGAUACUGUUAUUCUUGAGUAUGGUCAAGGUAGGCGGAAUGUGUAAUGUAGCGGUGAAAUGCUUAGAUAUUACACAGAACACCGAUUGCGAAGGCAGCUUGCUGGGCCAUUACUGACGCGGAUGCACGAAAGCGUGGGGAUCGAACAGGAUUAGAGACCCUGGUAGUCCACGCCGUAAACGAUGAUCACACGCUGUUAGCGAUACACAGUUAGCGGCUAAGCAAAAGCAUUAAGUGAUCCACCUGGGGAGUACGGCCGCAAGGCUGAAACUUAAAGGAAUUGACGGGG